RNAcentral lists this ribosomal RNA (275 nucleotides) under uncultured prokaryote. RNAcentral's name for it is "partial 16S ribosomal RNA". It matches the Rfam family "Bacterial small subunit ribosomal RNA", at positions 524 to 798 of the family's 1533-position model. The record is from RNAcentral.
UACGGAGGAUCCGAGCGUUAUCCGGAUUUAUUGGGUUUAAAGGGUGCGCAGGCGGGGGAUUAAGUCGGCGGUGAAAUUUUGCGGCUCAACCGUAAAAGUGCCUUCGAUACUGGUGGUCUUGAGUGUAGAUGAGGUGGGUGGAAUUCGUGGUGUAGCGGUGAAAUGCUUAGAUAUCACGAAGAACUCCAAUUGCGUAGGCAGCUCACUGGGCUACAACUGACGCUGAGGCACGAAGGUGCGGGGAUCAAACAGGAUUAGAUACCCCCGUAGUCCCU